This 903-nucleotide ribosomal RNA is filed under the name Metarhizium anisopliae. RNAcentral's name for it is "LSU rRNA". It matches the Rfam family "Eukaryotic large subunit ribosomal RNA", at positions 38 to 964 of the family's 3401-position model. The record is from RNAcentral. RNAcentral also lists the same sequence under 1 other name. Lineage: Eukaryota; Fungi; Ascomycota; Sordariomycetes; Hypocreales; Clavicipitaceae.
GCAUAUCAAUAAGCGGAGGAAAAGAAACCAACAGGGAUUGCCCCAGUAACGGCGAGUGAAGCGGCAACAGCUCAAAUUUGAAAUCUGGUCCCCAGGGCCCGAGUUGUAAUUUGCAGAGGAUGCUUUUGGUGAGGUGCCUUCCGAGUUCCCUGGAACGGGACGCCAUAGAGGGUGAGAGCCCCGUCUGGUUGGAUACCGAGCCUCUGUAAAGCUCCUUCGACGAGUCGAGUAGUUUGGGAAUGCUGCUCUAAAUGGGAGGUAUAUGUCUUCUAAAGCUAAAUAUUGGCCAGAGACCGAUAGCGCACAAGUAGAGUGAUCGAAAGAUGAAAAGCACUUUGAAAAGAGGGUUAAAUAGUACGUGAAAUUGUUGAAAGGGAAGCACUUAUGACCAGACUUGGCCCCGGUGAAUCAUCCAGCGGUUCCCGUUGGUGCACUUUGCCGGGGUUCAGGCCAGCAUCAGUUCGCUCCGGGGGAUAAAGGCUUUGGGAAUGUGGCUCCCUCGGGAGUGUUAUAGCCCAUUGCGCAAUACCCUGUGGCGGGCUGAGGUUCGCGCUUUAUGCAAGGAUGCUGGCAUAAUGGUCAUCAGUGACCCGUCUUGAAACACGGACCAAGGAGUCGUCUUCGUAUGCGAGUGUUCGGGUGUUAAACCCCUACGCGUAAUGAAAGUGAACGCAGGUGAGAGCCCUCCAGGGCGCAUCAUCGACCGAUCCUGAUGUUCUCGGAUGGAUUUGAGUAAGAGCAUACGGGGCCGGACCCGAAAGAAGGUGAACUAUGCCUGUAUAGGGUGAAGCCAGAGGAAACUCUGGUGGAGGCUCGCAGCGGUUCUGACGUGCAAAUCGAUCGUCAAAUAUGGGCAUGGGGGCGAAAGACUAAUCGAACCUUCUAGUAGCUGGUUUCCGCCGA